RNAcentral lists this non-coding RNA (299 nucleotides) under Phascolarctos cinereus (koala). Lineage: Eukaryota; Metazoa; Chordata; Mammalia; Diprotodontia; Phascolarctidae. The record is from RNAcentral.
UCUGGGUGUGGUGGUGCAUGCCUACAAUCCCUGCUUUUGGGGAGGCUGAGCCUGGCAGAUCUCUUUAACUCAGAAGUCCUAAGCUGCAGUGGGCUAAGCCAAUCAAGUGUCUGUACUAAGUUUGGCAAUCGUAAGAUAAGUUCUUGGGAGCGAGGAACCACUACAUUGCCUAAGAAGGGGUGAACUGGCUUAGAUUGGAAAAAAAUGUUGAGCAAAGCUCCUGUGUUGACCAGAGUACAAUAAGGCUUGUAAGUAACUCUUGUAUUUGUUGCCAGGGCAAAAUAAGGACACCUGGUCUG